This 312-nucleotide long non-coding RNA is filed under the name Setaria italica (foxtail millet). Its description in RNAcentral is "long non-coding RNA (SITA_LNC000264)". Lineage: Eukaryota; Viridiplantae; Streptophyta; Magnoliopsida; Poales; Poaceae. The record is from RNAcentral.
AGUGUGUUCCACAGUUUAGGUCAAACUCCACCACCUAUGCCACCGAACCUCUUCCCGCCACCUCCACCACCUCCUGCAGCUACUCCUGUGAGUCAAUCUCAACCUUACAAUCAAUCUAGACUUACUUCCACUAGAAUUACUUGUUUAGACUAUGAAAUCUCUUUACCUACAUUUGUGCAGAAUCAAUCGGCAGCGUCCAAUGCAGAAUCUUCCUGGGGGCAGUGGCCACCUGCACGUCCUCCUCAUCCUCCUCAGUGAAUUGUCAUUUCUGUGUUUCUGAUGCAAAACUUGUGAAUUACUUAUUUAGACGAG